RNAcentral lists this ribosomal RNA (191 nucleotides) under Bacillus sp. (in: firmicutes). RNAcentral's name for it is "Bacillus sp. (in: Bacteria) partial 16S ribosomal RNA". It matches the Rfam family "Bacterial small subunit ribosomal RNA", at positions 51 to 232 of the family's 1533-position model. The record is from RNAcentral. Lineage: Bacteria; Bacillati; Bacillota; Bacilli; Caryophanales; Bacillaceae.
ANACNUGCAGUCGAGCGGACAGAUGGGAGCUUGCUCCCUGAUGUUAGCGGCGGACGGGUGAGUAACACGUGGGUAACCUGCCUGUAAGACUGGGAUAACUCCGGGAAACCGGGGCUAAUACCGGAUGCUUGAUUGAACCGCAUGGUUCAAUUAUAAAAGGUGGCUUNNACNUACCACUUACANNUGGACCC